This 497-nucleotide ribosomal RNA is filed under the name uncultured bacterium. RNAcentral's name for it is "partial 16S ribosomal RNA". It matches the Rfam family "Bacterial small subunit ribosomal RNA", at positions 28 to 507 of the family's 1533-position model. The record is from RNAcentral.
GAUGAACGCUGGCGGCGUGCCUAAUACAUGCAAGUCGAGCGAACGGACGAGAAGCUUGCUUCUCUGAUGUUAGCGGCGGACGGGUGAUUAACACGUGGAUAACCUACCUAUACGACGGGGUUACUUCUGGCAAACCGUGUCUACGCCCGAAAAAUUUUUUGACCUUGAUGGUUCAAAGGUUAAAAAAGUUUUUUGGUUGCGUAAAAGAUGAACCAGGCUACAAUCACCAGGUGGUAAGGGUAACGGCUUACCAAGGCAAGGAGGGAUACCCGACCUCAGAGGGUCGUCCGACACACUGGAACUGAGAAACAGCCCAGACUCCUACGGGAGGAAGCAGUAGGGAAUCUUCCGCGAUGGGCGAAAGCCUGAUGGAGCAACGCCGCGUGAGUGCUGAAGGUCUUCGGAUCCUAAAACUAUGUAAUUAGGGAAGAUCAUAUGUGUAAGUACCUGUGCAGAUCUUGACGGUACCGAAUCAGAAAGCCACGGCUAACUCCGUG